Molecule: ribosomal RNA, 490 nt
Filed under: uncultured bacterium
Lineage: Bacteria
Description: partial 16S ribosomal RNA
Rfam family: Bacterial small subunit ribosomal RNA
Source: RNAcentral
AUUGAACGCUGGCGGCAGGCCUAACACAUGCGAGUCGAACGGUAACAGGAAGAAGCUUGCUUCUUUGCUGACGAGUGGCGGACGGGUGAGUAAUGUCUGGGAAACUGCCUGAUGGAGGGGGAUAACUACUGGAAACGGUAGCUAAUACCGCAUAACGUCGCAAGACCAAAGAGGGGGACCUUCGGGCCUCUUGCCAUCGGAUGUGCCCAGAUGGGAUUAGCUAGUAGGUGGGGUAACGGCUCACCUAGGCGACGAUCCCUAGCUGGUCUGAGAGGAUGACCAGCCACACUGGAACUGAGACACGGUCCAGACUCCUACGGGAUGCAGCAGUGGGGAAUAUUGCACAAUGGGCGCAAGCCUGAUGCAGCCAUGCCGCGUGUAUGAAGAAGGCCUUCGGGUUGUAAAGUACUUUCAGCGGGGAGGAAGGGAGUAAAGUUAAUACCUUUGCUCAUUGACGUUACCCGCAGAAGAAGCACCGGCUAACUCCGUG